GCAUUAGUAGCUCAGUAUCAGAGCGUCGGUCUUGUAAAUCGGAUGUCGAAGGUUAAAAUCCUUCCUACUGCU
RNAcentral lists this transfer RNA (72 nucleotides) under Capros aper (boarfish). Its description in RNAcentral is "tRNA-Thr". It matches the Rfam family "tRNA". From Rfam's summary of the family: Transfer RNA (tRNA) molecules are approximately 80 nucleotides in length. Their secondary structure includes four short double-helical elements and three loops (D, anti-codon, and T loops). The record is from RNAcentral. Lineage: Eukaryota; Metazoa; Chordata; Actinopteri; Caproiformes; Caproidae.